This 751-nucleotide ribosomal RNA is filed under the name Delftia sp. 2350. Its description in RNAcentral is "bacterial SSU rRNA". It matches the Rfam family "Bacterial small subunit ribosomal RNA", at positions 12 to 760 of the family's 1533-position model. Lineage: Bacteria; Pseudomonadati; Pseudomonadota; Betaproteobacteria; Burkholderiales; Comamonadaceae. The record is from RNAcentral.
UUUGAUCAUGGCUCAGAUUGAACGCUGGCGGCAUGCCUUACACAUGCAAGUCGAACGGUAACAGGUCUUCGGACGCUGACGAGUGGCGAACGGGUGAGUAAUACAUCGGAACGUGCCCAGUCGUGGGGGAUAACUACUCGAAAGAGUAGCUAAUACCGCAUACGAUCUGAGGAUGAAAGCGGGGGACCUUCGGGCCUCGCGCGAUUGGAGCGGCCGAUGGCAGAUUAGGUAGUUGGUGGGAUAAAAGCUUACCAAGCCGACGAUCUGUAGCUGGUCUGAGAGGACGACCAGCCACACUGGGACUGAGACACGGCCCAGACUCCUACGGGAGGCAGCAGUGGGGAAUUUUGGACAAUGGGCGAAAGCCUGAUCCAGCAAUGCCGCGUGCAGGAUGAAGGCCUUCGGGUUGUAAACUGCUUUUGUACGGAACGAAAAAGCUCCUUCUAAUACAGGGGGCCCAUGACGGUACCGUAAGAAUAAGCACCGGCUAACUACGUGCCAGCAGCCGCGGUAAUACGUAGGGUGCGAGCGUUAAUCGGAAUUACUGGGCGUAAAGCGUGCGCAGGCGGUUAUGUAAGACAGAUGUGAAAUCCCCGGGCUCAACCUGGGAACUGCAUUUGUGACUGCAUGGCUAGAGUACGGUAGAGGGGGAUGGAAUUCCGCGUGUAGCAGUGAAAUGCGUAGAUAUGCGGAGGAACACCGAUGGCGAAGGCAAUCCCCGGACCUGUACUGACGCUCCAUGCACGAAAGC